GACGAACGCUGGCGGCGUGCUUAACACAUGCAAGUCGAACGGAAAGGCCCUGCUUUUGUGGGGUGCUCGAGUGGCGAACGGGUGAGUAACACGUGAGUAACCUGCCCUUGACUUUGGGAUAACUUCAGGAAACUGGGGCUAAUACCGGAUAGGAGCUCCUGCUGCAUGGUGGGGGUUGGAAAGUUUCGGCGGUUGGGGAUGGACUCGCGGCUUAUCAGCUUGUUGGUGGGGUAGUGGCUUACCAAGGCUUUGACGGGUAGCCGGCCUGAGAGGGUGACCGGCCACAAUGGGACUGAGAUACGGCCCAGACUCCUACGGGAAGCAGCAGUGGGGAAUAUUGCACAAUGGGCGGAAGCCUGAUGCAGCAACGCCGCGUGCGGGAUGACGGCCUUCGGGUUGUAAACCGCUUUCGCCUGUGACGAAGCGUGAGUGACGGUAAUGGGUAAAGAAGCACCGGCUAACUACGUG
Molecule: ribosomal RNA, 468 nt
Filed under: uncultured bacterium
Lineage: Bacteria
Description: partial 16S ribosomal RNA
Rfam family: Bacterial small subunit ribosomal RNA
Source: RNAcentral